AUCACCUGACACACACUUUUGAGACCUUUCAAUGUUGGUGAAAGGCCAUUAUUAUGAAGCAAAAGGAUUUUCCAUGUUAAAAAUUCCACCAGGUCUAAUGAGAACUUUUGGCAGCUUGACCAGCCUGAGCCUUGGACCCGUUUUGGGGCAUCACUAGUGACUGAUACAAACGCCAUUCCUCUGGAACACAAAACCCGUCCCUGGCACCACCAGUGAAGUAGCAGCUCUGCUCCAUGUUCUGUACUGAGAUUGAUACUGCCUAUGCCACCUCCUCAAGUGGGCUCGGGCUAGGAUGCAUUCUGUGUUAUAGCGACUGUGAGGCUGACGCUAUUGGAGAGAGUCUGUCUGUUCAGAACUCCUAAACGGUACAAGCUAGGGCCACCAAAUCUGGCAGGAAGCUUCCUCUUCUCAUACCUUGAAGCAAGGGAAGGGCUUGAAUGUGCCUGGGUGGAAUGCUUCUCAAAAUCCUAGAAAAAAGACAAUCAUGUUGACUGUUCCCCUCCCUCCAGGAGAGAGGGGAAAGGGCACAGUUUGACGCAUGGACCCCCUUGGUGCAGGGCUCCAGGGGGACCUGCUCUAGGUGUCAUCCCAUCCUUAGACAGAAAGACACUUGGAAGGCCAACCUCAAAGCAUGCAAGAUGGACUUUGAAACUUGGGGACUUGUUGCAUUGGACAGCCGUAUCUGGAGAGGUCUGCGCUGUGAGGCCACGUCUGCGCGUGAGGGUCGGUGUGUGAGGUCUCUGCAGGAGAAGACCACGUUAUAUGGGUAUUGACUCAAACCCUUGCCUUAGUAACAGCUUCACGUGUGACUGUAACCCACUCACCUGCUGGGUGUGGUGCAUGGUCCCAUCUACCGGUACCAAGACCGCUUGCGGAGACGACAGUGACUCUACAGACUUCGCUAACAUCCACCUGGCUUUAAGCAGCAGAGGCUCAUGCACUAAGCUUCAGAGGUCCCAGGUUCGAUUUUGCCCGUCGGCGUUCUGCAACCACAUUUGCAAAUCCAGGCUCAGACUCGCUUCCCACGUGAGAAGCCAUAAAAACAAGCCUGUAACUUAAGUCAACAUCAGCUGAAUGCUCAACUGUAAAAGAGGUGGGAGAUUCCAACAACAACAAGGCCAACAGUGAAGGCUUCUCCCCCAUUUACAUGCGGAUUUCAGUUGUAUGGUUUGGAAGUUGCUCUGAUCAGGCACUUCUGGUUUGUGUUAAGACAUUUUGCAAUGGUGAUGAUGGAAAUAGGAGGAGGAAUCUUUUGUGUGACUGGAAAAUAGGGGCAAAGGGAAAACGGAAGAAACUAGGAAAUCUUUUUUGUAACUACAUGUUGACAUCACCGCUUUUCUUUUUUCCAGCUCAGCUUAGACAAAAUGGCCCUGCGUCUUCCUUGCGGGGUAAAUUUGGAGUAACAACUCUGAAGUCAGUGGCGUUGUGUGUGUGUCUCUCUUUCUCUCUCACUCACAGACUCAGACUGCGAUCCCAAAUUCCAAGCUGCAGUGCGGGGGGGGAGAGAAGCUAUUUUGAUGCCUGUUAGAUUCCCCCAAGCAGAAAAGUGUUUAUCCAUCCACCAAUAGGGACUUACUGCUUUCACACUACAUCUAGUGAGAGACCACAAAAAACUUGCCUAUUGACAGAAGUGAGACUGUACUAUAACAUCCCUGGGGCAGUGUGAUCAAGCAUGGCUUGCGUCCCAUUUUACAAUGGGUAGAAUGUAUUCUCAGAGAUUUUUAAAGUUUUGAGAAGCCUGGAAGGUUAGUGCCGGUGGCCUUAGCAGUGUUGUUGCACCUGCAAGCGUGAAAGGUGUGUCACAUUGCAGGAUGUUCCGUGCCCUUAUCGAUGUACAACCCAACGGUGAGCAGGAGGGCUGACGUCACAGGGCGCAAUUCGUGUGUAUGCUGAGACCCCCAAGGGUGAGGCUGACAACAGAGCAUGUCAGCCCUGUGCAGCAGGACACAAGUUACAGCUCCCCUCCAUUUGUGGUGGUGCAGUGGCUUGGGCCCCUGCUUGCCCAGGUCGUGUAACCAUUUUGGUUGUUAAAAGGGGAUCACGGUUCAGGGAGGCUUGAGAACAGCUGUGAGGGUAAAGGCGUAAAUUCCAGCCAUUUCACUGGGGCCAGGAUUUCCCACUUAGUGAACAACAUGCGCAGGGAUGGAUAUUAACCAAAGAAUUUUCAUCUCCUGCCUUAUCUAGUCCCUGCUGGCCAUUCUACACUGUGCAUUUCCACGUUCCCAGCCCGAGUUCCUCGCACGGGACGGCUGAGUGUAACAAGCUGUUCAGAGCCAUGGGGUGCACAAGACAAUUCUUGCAGAAACGAGAGAGCGUAGCUCCUGAGACUGAGCCGUCUUGCCGUUAUAAGGGGCAUCUGUGAUGAUAAAUGUGACUCCUUUGUGAUGAAACAGGCACGGUGGCAGUGGGCAUCAAAAACAAAUGGGAAUUAAAAAUGAACACACAACAGUUUGUUCCACCCGCGCAGACAGCAAGAGCGGGGCUCGUGGGGUGUAUAUGAAGAGGAACGCCAUGUGGAGAAGACAAAAGUAAGCUGGCAAUAGAGGAUGGAGUUGAAUAUCGAAGGAUAAGACAUGAUCAAGAGCCCCGGCUUUGCCAGUCUCUUUCGACGACGAGAGCAAGUGACGCCGUCUGCAGUGAAAGGGAGAGACUUCUUGACUGAAAUAAUAGGUCACCCCACAGCAUACCCAUUGCAGCAAUAGGUCCCCAGCAUCUCCGGCAGAGUCAAAGGAAAGCCGCAUGUCCCCGCUGAGUAAACAUCUGGGAGCAGCUGGUCAGACAACUGAUCUUGAGACGGCCAAAG
Molecule: non-coding RNA, 2803 nt
Organism: Pelodiscus sinensis (Chinese soft-shelled turtle)
Lineage: Eukaryota; Metazoa; Chordata; Testudines; Trionychidae
Source: RefSeq, a predicted model, not a curated record